This 737-nucleotide small RNA is filed under the name Pan troglodytes (chimpanzee). RNAcentral's name for it is "processed transcript". The record is from RNAcentral. Lineage: Eukaryota; Metazoa; Chordata; Mammalia; Primates; Hominidae.
GGCUUCAGCCCAGCUGGUGGCUGCUCUCUGAGAAGCAGAGACCUUGAGCACAUCUCAGCCCACAGGCAGCCCCAUGAAGAGCCCUGUCUGCACCUUGCCCUUCCCCACCGAGACUCUCCAGCAGGGACUCUGGCCUGCUGGGCUGCCACGAUCUCUCGCAUGGAUCCCCACAGAUGGUACGGAGGGAUAUCGGGCUGUCAGUGACGCACAGGUUCUCCACCAAGUCCUGGCUGUCGCAGGUCUGCCACGUGUGCCAGAAGAGCAUGAUAUUUGGAGUGAAGUGCAAGCAUUGCAGGUUGAAGUGUCACAACAAAUGUACCAAAGAAGCCCCUGCCUGUAGAAUAUCCUUCCUGCCACUAACUCGGCUUCGGAGGACAGAAUCUGUCCCCUCGGACAUCAACAACCCGGUGGACAGAGCAGCCGAACCCCAUUUUGGAACCCUCCCCAAAGCACUGACAAAGAAGGAGCACCCUCCGGCCAUGAAUCACCUGGACUCCAGCAGCAACCCUUCCUCCACCACCUCCUCCACACCCUCCUCACCGGCGCCCUUCCCGACAUCAUCCAACCCAUCCAGCGCCACCACGCCCCCCAACCCCUCACCUGGCCAGCGGGACAGCAGGUUCAACUUCCCAGACAUUUCGGCCUUUGCACACGCAGCCCCGCUCCCUGAAGCUGCCGACGGUACCCGGCUCGAUGACCAGCCGAAAGCAGAUGUGUUGGAAGCUCACGAAGCGGAG